GACGAACGCUGGCGGCGUGCUUAACACAUGCAAGUCGAACGGAAAGGCCCCUUUGGGGGUACUCGAGUGGCGAACGGGGGCGUAACACGUGAGUAACCUUCCCUUGCCUUCGGGAUAACUUCAGGAAACUGGGGCUAAUACCGGAUAGAAAUCCUUGCUGCAUGGGGGGGGUUGGAAAGCUUCGGCGGCUUUGGAUGGACUAGCGGCUUAUCAGCUUGUUGGUGGGGUAGUGGCUUACCAAGGCUUCGACGGGUAGACGGCCUGAGAGGGCGACCGGCCACAUUGGGACUGAGAUGCGGCCCAGACUCCUACGGGAGGCAGCAGUGGGGAAUAUUGCACAAUGGGCGGAAGCCUGAUGCAGCAGCGCCGCGUGCGGGAUGACGGCCUUCGGGUUGAAAACCGCUUUCAGCAGGGGCGAAGCUUGUGGUGACGGUACCUGCAGAAGAAGCACCGGCUAACUACGUG
RNAcentral lists this ribosomal RNA (465 nucleotides) under uncultured bacterium. Its description in RNAcentral is "partial 16S ribosomal RNA". It matches the Rfam family "Bacterial small subunit ribosomal RNA", at positions 28 to 507 of the family's 1533-position model. The record is from RNAcentral.